AUUGAAACAUUGGUUCCCAUAUGAUCAGUAAAGUUAAGCAAUGUCAAGCCUGAUCAGUACCUAGAAGGGUGAUUGUUUGGGAAUACCUGGUGCUGUAAG
This is a non-coding RNA of Acanthosepion pharaonis, 99 nucleotides long. Lineage: Eukaryota; Metazoa; Mollusca; Cephalopoda; Sepiida; Sepiidae. The record is from the annotation of a GenBank genome assembly.